RNAcentral lists this ribosomal RNA (443 nucleotides) under uncultured bacterium. RNAcentral's name for it is "partial 16S ribosomal RNA". It matches the Rfam family "Bacterial small subunit ribosomal RNA", at positions 338 to 795 of the family's 1533-position model. The record is from RNAcentral.
CCUACGGGAGGCAGCAGUGGGGAAUAUUGGGCAAUGGGCGCAAGCCUGACCCAGCAACGCCGCGUGAAGGAAGAAGGCUUUCGGGUUGUAAACUUCUUUUCUCAGGGACGAAGAAAGUGACGGUACCUGAGGAAUAAGCCACGGCUAACUACGUGCCAGCAGCCGCGGUAAUACGGAGGGGGCAAGCGUUAUCCGGUUUUAUUGGGUGUAAAGGGGGUGGAGGGGGGAGUGCAAGUCAGAUGUGAAAACUCAGGGCUCAACCCUGAGCCUGCAUUUGAAACUGUGUUUCUUGAGUGCUGGAGAGGCAGUCGGAAUUCCGAGUGUAGCGGUGAAAUGCGUAGAUAUACGGAGGAACACCAGUGGCGAAGGCGGAUUGCUGGACAGUAACUGACGCUGAGGCGCGAAAGCGUGGGGAGCAAACAGGAUUAGAUACCCCUGUAGUC